Long non-coding RNA from Cyprinus carpio carpio, 3215 nucleotides. NCBI's taxonomy places the organism in Eukaryota, Metazoa, Chordata, Actinopteri, Cypriniformes, Cyprinidae. The record is from Ensembl.
AUUACACACCAUCCCUGCUAACACACGACGUAACAGUUACGUAACGUAUUGGUAAUUAUUGGUAAUUCCGUGACUUACCAAUUGACAACGUAACUACGACGUCGCAUGACUGUAAUUUUGUUACCAUCCCAUUACCAACUCACAACGUCGUCAGUACGUCCUUCCAACGUGACCAGAUAACCAAGAACGUCCCAGAUUGGUUCUCUAUUCGUUAUAUAUUGGUAACUUCAUGACUUACUGGCAACGUAACUACAACGUCGUAUGCACGUAAUUUCAUUACCAUAACUUUUGUACGUGCUUUAUAUGCUCUCUGAGUAUAGUGAUAAAAAGUGUAAUUAAACUUCAGACACAAGAUUAAACGUUCCUUAAAGAUAAAAUGUGUUUCUUUUCACCAAGUCAGAAUAUGGACAUGUUUUAAUAUAUAGUGACGUAACAUACAGCGCGCGCGCUUCCACAGCUGACACACCGCGCGCACAGACAAGAAAGGAAAUACAUUUUGUGAAACUUUCUAUUUCGUAAGGAGUUAUGAACGUGAAAUAAUGACACAGACUGGCUACACCAUCUCAUCUGCCGCAGAUACUGUAUCAGGAGGACAGCGCGUUUGUUUGAGGCACUUUUCACUUCAACUGUGUCUGACAGGAGAAUUAGCUUUUCUGAGCUUACUAGCCGUUGAGAGUUACCAUGGCAACCGCGGACACAUCAGCUGCUGGAGAGGAGAGGACUCCUCUGACACUUUCUCUGUUUCUCGUCAGUUAUACCAAAGAAAAGUUCAACAACUGCGACAGAUUGCUUAAGUAACACAUGUUAAUAUCAUCCACACUCUAUGUACUUUUGUUCAUAUUUAUACCUCUGUGAUUAUGGUAUAUUUCCUUAAUUAUCUGAAAUGUCUGCUAGCAAACAUUACGCUAGUGUAGAAACAAAACUAUAGCAUAAUUGAUUUGAGCUCUUAUUAAUGAAAGUUGGGGCUUUUAAUCACAUCUUAUGCCUAAAGGAGCAGUUUUGAUAGCUUUGUAAAAACAAAAGUCUUGAACUCUGUAAAGACGCUAAAACCCUUUUUUAAUAUUAUUGUUUUUACUAGCCGUUGAGAGUUGCCAUGGCAACCGCGGACACGUCAUCAGCUACUGGAGAGGACGCGUCUGACACUUUCUCUGUUUCUCGUCAGUUAUACCAAAGAAAAGUUCAACAACUGCGACAGAUCGUUUGUUUAUUUCUAAUAAGGAGCUGGAGGCCCUGGAGAAGCAGAUCCGUGACCUCGUGGAGAAGCAGGCUCAGCUGAGAGAGCGGAGAGCCGUGAUGGAAACAUUCAGGGGUUGAUGCUCAUAAGUCCGGUGUAAGUAUACAGCACGCUGCUAACUCUCCCACCACCUCUACUCUGUGUGGUUCUCUGCACAGGCCCGGUGUACCCAGGACGCAAUCUUUCCAGAUGUCCUUCACCCUGUGCCACAGCGUAAGACAUGAGCCAGGUCCUGGGCGACAACCUCUCUCCCCCCGCCGCCUCCGGUCUUCGGGAACUCCACUGGAAACCGAUUUGCUCCACUUCACGAGACAGAACACGACUCUGUGUUCGUCAGAGACUCCAUUAUCCGGCACGUUCGUGCUAUGUAAGCUGAAGGUAAUGUGCACACUCACUGUUUCCCUGGUGCUCGUGUUCUUGAUAUUUCUGCGCAGAUACCCGUGAUCCUGAAGGGUGAAGAGAGCAUCGGAGCGGUCGUGCUUCACACCGGGGUUAACGAUACCAAGCUGCGGCAGACGCAGACACUAAAGAGGGACUUCAGGAGCCUGAUCGAGACGGUGCGCAGCAUAUCGCCUGCACGAUGAUCAUCAUCUCAGCACCUCUUCUCAUGUAUAGAUGAGGACACGAAAGGUUCAGUAGAUUUUUUGCUCUAAAUGAAUGGUUAUUGUCAUGGUGUAAAGAACAGAAACUGCUCUUUGUUAAUAAUUGGAAUCUUUUCUGGGAGCGACCUAGGCUUUUUCGCGCUGAUGGCCUGCACCCCAGCAGAGUCGGAGCAGAACUCCUGUCGGACAACAUCUCAAGGACUCUACACUCCAUUGACUAGGCAGUUUGUGAAGACAGAUAAUCAAGAGAUGUGACAAACUGUACAGAAGUCAGUUCCAGAUCCACCCUCCACACCAGACCUCUCUCAUAUGGACUGCUGUCUACUAGCAUACUUCGGUGGAUUCAGAUAUUACUCAGGGACAUGAACACUUGAAUAUUGCAAGCAUAGAGAAAGUAAGAAUUACUGAAGAUUUAAGAAUUUAAUGUUAAUUGCUUAAACAUUAUAUAUACUGUUUUAGCAAUUAACAUUAAUAGUUUUUUUUUGGUGUCCAAAGCACCUAAAAGCCAAUUCACACCACCAUACUCCAACAGUUCAAACAAAACAAAAUAAGCAUGUUUUUUUAAAUAGUUUUUUUGGCAGUGUGAACUGGCCAUAAUGAUGUAUGUUAGGUGUGAGAUUCAUUAAACCUGAUUUGCUAUUAUACAUCUGUUCAUAAGAUAUUGCAUAUGAUUUUCAGUUAAUUGUUUGUAGUGGUUUGGUAAAGGGUGUGAUUAGCUGAUGUAUUAUUGUGGGAGCAUGUGAUUAGUUGAUGAAUUGUGUGCAUGGUUAAUGAUGGCUCUUAAGUAUUUAAAUGCAAUGGGCUGAGUGCCUACUAAGACUUGAAUAUUUCAUGACCCUGGAUGCUAACAGAAGGAUAUAGAUAUUUAAAUAUAUGGACAUUUAUUUAUUAUUAAUAUAUUUUAAUCUAUCUAUGCUUCUGUAUGGGCUGAAUGCUUUCAUUCACAUUUUGCUGUAUAUCCUAUGUUUUUUUAUUAAUAAUUUGGGUGUAUUACUGGUCAUAUUUGUUUGUUAAUAAAUGAACUGAAUUCAUUUCGAGUCUGUAUUCAUUAUUCACAGCUGCUGAAACAGCCUUUAAAUUAGUUUGGGCAUAUGAGGACAUAAAUUAGAUUAAACUACUGCAUGUCCGCCCAUAAAAAAUAAAUAAUUAUCAAAAAUUACCAACUGAUUACCAGCACACAACUACCGAUUCGCGACGUUGCCACGACGUCGCAGUUACUUACUGGUAACGUCACAAAGUUACGUUGUGGCGACGUAUACGCACCUUUCACUUUUCCGGUUGCCACGACGUAACUAGUUACGUCGCCACGACGAAACUUUGGUCACCAGAUUACGUUGCAGUUACGUAACAGUUACGUACUUUUGUUAGCUGGGAUAUUA